RNAcentral lists this ribosomal RNA (504 nucleotides) under uncultured bacterium. RNAcentral describes it as "partial 16S ribosomal RNA". It matches the Rfam family "Bacterial small subunit ribosomal RNA", at positions 30 to 523 of the family's 1533-position model. The record is from RNAcentral.
AUUGAACGCUGGCGGCAUGCCUUACACAUGCAAGUCGAACGGCAGCAUGGAGAGCUUGCUCUCUGAUGGCGAGUGGCGAACGGGUGAGUAAUGCAUCGGAACGUACCGUGUAAUGGGGGAUAACGUAGCGAAAGUUACGCUAAUACCGCAUACGACCUGAGGGUGAAAGCAGGGGAUCGCAAGACCUAGCGUUAUACGAGCGGCCGAUGUCAGAUUAGCUAGUUGGUGAGGUAAAGGCUCACCAAGGCGACGAGCUGUAGCGGGUCUGAGAGGAUGAGCGGCCACACUGGGACUGAGACCCGGCCCAGACUCCUACGGGAGGCAGCAGUGGGGAAUUUUGGACAAUGGGGGCAACCCUGAUCCAGCCAUGCCGCGUGAGUGAAGAAGGCCUUCGGGUUGUAAAGCUCUUUCGGCCGGGAAGAAAUCGCACAGGCUAAUACUCUGUGUGGAUGACGGUACCGGCAUAAGAAGCACCGGCUAACUACGUGCCAGCCGCCGCCGUAA